GGUGGAGAUCAGUUCCAGGGGCAGGGAUCUGGGUAUGAAUAAAAGGGUGUAUGAUGUGGGUGGGUUGGGCUAGGCCCAGGAACCAGGAUUGUGGGCGAUCAGAUUCAGGGGUAGGGCUUUCCUUGGAUCCCUAGAUUGUUGAUAGUUACUUCCCCAUGUUCAUACAACCCAAUAGGAUCAGAUUAUAUAUGCACAUUUGUCUGUAACUUGCUUUCCCAAAGCAGAACAUAGUGAUUUAACACUAAGAGUUUAGGGGAGCAGGAGACGACUGGGUCAUAGAUACACAUAUAGGAAAACUUAAGAAUGUUACAAAGUCAGUCAAAUAUUCUCCCACCACUGUCUUUUCAGUUCUUUUGCUCAGAGGCAAAAAUAAUUUUCUCCUCUAUCUUUCCAGAUAUAGUGUGGACAUGUAUGUGUGUGUAUGUGUGUAUGCUGCAGUCAUAUUCGUGGAAUAAAUGCUAUUACCUCCCCCCCGCCA
Molecule: small RNA, 478 nt
Filed under: Pongo abelii (Sumatran orangutan)
Lineage: Eukaryota; Metazoa; Chordata; Mammalia; Primates; Hominidae
Description: sense intronic
Source: RNAcentral